This 385-nucleotide ribosomal RNA is filed under the name uncultured bacterium. RNAcentral describes it as "bacterial SSU rRNA". It matches the Rfam family "Bacterial small subunit ribosomal RNA", at positions 29 to 412 of the family's 1533-position model. The record is from RNAcentral.
AUUGAACGCUGGCGGCAUGCCUUACACAUGCAAGUCGAACGGCAGCACGGGAGCAAUCCUGGUGGCGAGUGGCGAACGGGUGAGUAAUAUAUCGGAACGUGCCCAGUCGUGGGGGAUAACGCAGCGAAAGCUGUGCUAAUACCGCAUACGAUCUACGGAUGAAAGCGGGGGAUCGCAAGACCUCGCGCGAUUGGAGCGGCCGAUAUCAGAUUAGCUAGUUGGUGAGGUAAAGGCCCACCAAGGCGACGAUCUGUAGCUGGUCUGAGAGGACGACCAGCCACACUGGAACUGAGACACGGCCCAGACUCCUACGGGAGGCAGCAGUGGGGGAAUUUUUGGGACAAUGGGCGCAAGCCUGAUCCAGCAAUGCCGCGUGCAGGAUGAA